AGUAGAGACAGGGUUUCACCAUGUUGGCCAGGAUGGUCUCAAUCUCUUGACCUUGUGAUCUGCCUGCCUCAACCUCCCAAAGUGCUGGAAUUACAAGUGUGAGCCACCGCGCCCAGCCCCAUUUCUUAUUUGGUCUGGCCAUCUUCUAAAGAGUUUGAACCUACUGAAGAACUAUCUUGACUGUCUUGAUGAGGGAGCUGAAGAAAUCCUUCACUGGAGUCUGAGCGGAAGUGGAAUCUAUUUUCCUUCUUCUUGAAUUUGGAAUGCUUUUGGCCAAGAGAAAGAGGUGGAAGUGAUGGUGUAACAGUUCCAAGUCUAGGCCUCAAGUUGCCUGUGGACUUCCACUCAGACUCUCAGAGCCCUGCUGGAGGAUGGAGAGACCACAUGGAACAGAGAAGGGUUAUCCCACCGAGGCCACCAUAGACCAGCCAGCCCUCAGCGUACAUGCCAGCUAAUUACAGAUGCAGGAGCAAACCCCUGGCCCAUACAUCAAUUUUAAUGUCAUUGAAUACAGAGAACAAAUCUCAUUCACUUUGGUAUCGGCUGGAGUCAACAAACAUUUAAAAAUCAUUUACUGCGUCUGAUUUUGGAUUUUGAGUCUUGCUCUAUGGCCCAGACUGGAGUGCAGUGGCGUGAUCUCAGCUCACUUCAACCUCCACCUCCCGGGUUCGAGAGAGAUUCUCCUGCCUCAUCCUCCCGAGUAGCUGGGAUCACCGGCGCCCACAACCACACCCGGCUAAUUUUUGUACUUUUAGUGGAGACAGGGUUUCACCAUGUUGGCUAGGCUGGUCACAAACUCCCGACCUCAGGUUAUCCAUCUGCCUUGGCCUCCCAAAGUGCUGGGAUUACAGGCGUGAGCCCCCGCACCUGGCCAAGAUCAGCUAGAUUUUGGAAGCAUUGCCUUCUACAGAAUCCACAGUAGUCCGAAGCUCUUCUACGGUUUUUGUCAAACUUUGAUUUUCCAUCUCUAGCUUCAAUAAUCUACUUGAUGUCAACUCAUUCACCUCAUGGCCCAGGGAUUUCUGGGGUGCUAUAAUAUUGAAAAAUACACCAUUGUAUUUACUCUUUACUGUUUUUACUAUGUUUACUCUUUACUAUUUAAAAAGUUGAGUGUAUAUGCAUUGCAUCAUCUGAUCCUUAACUUUAUUAAAAAUUCAAUGAGGUUAUAUAAGAUAAACAAGAUAAAAGAAGUAAAUCUUUUUUUUCCUUUUCUUUUUUUCUUUUUUUUAAAGAGACGGGGUCUCUCUCUGUCACCCAGGCUGGAGUGCAGUGAUGUGCUCCUAGCUCACUGCAGCCUCAAACGCCUGGUCUGAAGGGAUCCUCCCACCUCAGUCUCCCAAGCGGCCGGGACUGCAGGUACAGCCAGCUAAUUUUUUUAUUUUUUAGUAAAGACUGGGUCUCUGUUACUUAGGCUGGUCUCGAACUCCUGAGCUCAAGCAAUCCUCCUGCCUUGGCCUCCCAAAGUGCUGGGAUUACAGGCAUGAGCCGCUGCACCCAGCUAAGAGAUACAUGUUUAACUUUUAAUGCAUCCACAGCAUUCUAGUUAAAAAAAGCAUAAAAUUUAGAUUGAAGAAAUUGGAGUUCAAGCAGACCCAUUAAAUAUUUUGCUGAUAUAAGAACAUUAGGAUUUACAAAUGAAAUAUGAGACCUACUAUUUCAAGAAAGGAAAUGAAUAAAGGUACUGGAGAGAAU
This 1692-nucleotide long non-coding RNA is filed under the name Homo sapiens (human). Its description in RNAcentral is "PREDICTED lncRNA (TCONS_00148101)". Lineage: Eukaryota; Metazoa; Chordata; Mammalia; Primates; Hominidae. The record is from RNAcentral.